GGCUGUCCCUGAGAAGUGACCAGGCAUUCAGAACCACUCUCCAGUUGAGAGCAGCUCCCCCAGGUUGGUGACGUGUGGAGAACUCAGCCCACGGUUUAAGGCCCAGGCACUUGGUUGCUGGGUUUUCUUUUCCUUCGUGUUUAUCACGCAAACAAAUGAGCACUGUAUUUCAUUGUUAAAAAUCUAAUUUCUAAGUUGUUAAAGAUGAAAUUGCUCUCAUAAGAAAGGUCUUGGUUAAUAUCCGAUUUCUCUUGCUAGCGUGGCAAAGAAAAACAAAUUCUAAUUAUUUCAAGACUUUAGGGAAAAUAUUUCCUAUGUAAUAAACACCACAGGUUUGCUCAUUCGAAUGUAUUGGGGUGGAAACUGAUUUCUUGGUGAAAGAGCAAUUGCUCAUUGUAGACAAGUGGCAGCAGUCAUUGUCAAAUCCACAUUUUUUCCUUUGUAAACUGAAUGGUCCUGGCUAGGAGUGAUACAAACUUGAAAUGGCAUUGCCUGAGGCAAAUAAUACCCUGUCUAAUGUAUUUGAUUUUGCAAAGAUAACAAGCUGAGUUACAUUUCUGCUUUCAGUUAUAUUAAUGGUUCAAGAAAAGGGAAGAUAAGAAACUGAAACAGAUUAUUAAAUCUGCCUUUUAUUCUAGUAUCACUUAAGGUAAAAGCUAGUGAUGCCUUAAGGAAAUCUUUGGGGAAAAAAAAAAAAAAGUAGUAUUUAGUGCUUUAUGCAGAAAAAAUAGAAUAUAUAAUGUAUUUUUGUUAGAUUUACAGCUAUCGGGCAUUUUGGUAGAGCAUUUGGUUAAAUACCUAAUGAAUAAUUCAUAGUCACUAAUUUAUGAGCCCUGUCAUAUAGACUAAAAGCCAACUUUCAAGGCCUCAGACAAAGAGAAUAAAUACAUAGCAUUUAGCGAAACUCCGACCAAACUGGGAAGUCAGCGGGGUGGGAAGGAGUGCUGUGAUACGGCUGUGAGCGUGUGAAGGGCAUCGGCUCUGGGCUGAGAGGGGGAAUGAUUUAAUUCCAGCGGAUUUUUAAUUGCCAAUAUUAAAAUUUCCCACCGAGAGCAGGAAGCCUGUUUUAUUGGCAGAACUGCCGCUCCGUGGGCAGAAGCCUUCUGCUGGAAGUGGUCGAUGGAGGACCUCUGCACCCGCGCUCCGUAACGCCAUGCGGUGCUUCUGAUGAACUUCACAUCUUAUGCCUUUGGACGCUGUACUUCUGCCAGCCUGCUACAGAAAUGGGAAACAAAAGAAGAGGCAGGUUUCCCUGAUGAGCUCGCAGUCUUAAUUAACGAGACUUAACAAAAACAAUUACCGCAGACAAAGGUUAAAAAGAGAUAAGACAGAUAAAAGCAAAUCUCAAACAGGGACAAGAAUGCAAGCUGCGACUUUAAUGUUGAAGAGUACUUUGCCUCCACGUAGAACAGAAGGCUUUAAUACAAAUGCUUUUCCAGUGCUGCAAAUGGCCUAUUUUCAUGCCACAUCUCUUGAUCUACAUUUCAGAAAUUUAAAUUUCAAAGCCGAAUACAGCAUUUCAGAGACAUAAAGAGCAGUUCGUGGCAACAUAUGCUCUUCACCUUUCCAAGUAGACGUGCUUUGAAGGAACUUUGGGUUUAAAGUAAUACAGCGAUCUCUAAAAACAGCAGCAUGGCGCAAUUGGAAAUAACGUUAUUUUUCCCUUUCAGCGUGACCCAAGUGCAAGCAAUCAUCUGAUAUUCCCCAUUUGACACAAAGGCCCUGGGCUGGGAAUCCUGCAGCUGGUAACAAUUGAGUGGAUAUGGCUACUUUAAGGGAGAACUCUUCACAGAAAUUACCCGUCAUUUCAUCUUGGUGAAAAGAAAUAGCAAUGAUCACUUAAAGUUUCAGAGCUGUUUAGUACUCUUCAGUCAGCUUUUUCUUUGGCAGACAUCUCCUUCAAGUAACUUCUGUUGAUUGUGCUGGCACAAUUGUGCUUCUGUGGUCCAAUUUGUGUAUUCCUCUGUCAGAGGCGGUAUAGACGUGUCUUUGUGGUCACCUGGCCUUGAGUAGCUCUUGCCGAAUCUGCUGGGAUCUGGGAACAGGGCAACUGCGGCUCUGAGGGUUUUGUCGUGUUGAAAAAUUGAUCUUUGCAGCUUCUCACAGCUGAAUUGGAUUUGGCUUCAUGCACAAAAGUUAAAUUGAUGGGAUAACUAUGGCUGGUUUUGUCACCCAUAACUCUUGCCUAGAGCAGGAUAUUAAAAAGGACAAAGGAAUUAAAAACAAAACUGCUACUGACUGUGCAUUUUUAUUUGACUUUCUUAAUGUUAGGUGAUUGUUGACAGAGAUUAUUCAGGCAGAUUGGGUUUGUGCUAUAGUUUAAAUUAAGCCAUUGUGUUCUUACUUAGCAUGCAGAAAAGAUCCUUCCAAAUUUUGAAAAGGUCACUGCUGUUAAUCAUUUCAGAAAGGCAAUAAAAUAUUCCAGUAAUGACUCAACUGAAAAGAAUAACCAAGAUUAAAAACUUAUUAGUGCUUAAUAAAUACAAGCGUAUAACGGGGCAUGCUGAAGAGAAGCUGCCGUAUUCAGAUGAAAGACUCUUGGUGAGAGUGUUUGCAGUGGCAGCUAGUUCUGGUAACUCGCAUCGUCAGCCCUCGUGGCAAAGCCAAGCCCCUUAUGAGGUGCUUUUUCCCCCUCAUCUCUCCCUGGAAGUCUGUGGAUCCUUACUAAAGAGAAGUACCUUUAUGGAUGCACAAACAGAAUAGAUGUAAGUAAUCCUUUCCUGAACCGGUGGGGCUGAGCUGUUUUGAUUGCUGUGACAUGUGCGGGCCUCCUGCUGCUCCGCUUGGAUUUACGUUGCAUGCAGAAGAUUAAUCUCUAGGUCAUCACAUUUAAGUCUUUUGAG
Molecule: long non-coding RNA, 2843 nt
Organism: Oxyura jamaicensis (ruddy duck)
Lineage: Eukaryota; Metazoa; Chordata; Aves; Anseriformes; Anatidae
Exons: 3
Source: RefSeq, a predicted model, not a curated record